UGAGUGAACUAUCAACACUGGGCUGCAACUCAGCUGUCUCCUGGUGUGAUAGCAGUAAGAAGGUGGCUCAGCUUCUGUGUUCUUCUGUGGCUGAUGGCUGAGUCUGAGAAAGUGCUCAGGAAAACAGAAGUCGCCACCAUCUUGCUAACUCUUCUGUGUGUGCGGAAGCCUACAGAGCUCAGUUCUGCUACUGCUGCUUCCACCAAAGGGUCAAACGGAGCGUGAGGGGAAUGGGUGCUGCUGGGCAGGCAGGAGGAGGCUGCAGGGGCUGCCUCAAUCCCUCCCAUUCCCUGAGAGCAGCAGGAGCAGCAAUCCUUUCUCUUCGGUGCACCCUUCUGCAUUUACAGAACCUGGUGAGUGCUUAACUGGUUUGAAGACUCAUAGCUGCUUGGAAUCUCCUGGAUGUUAGCAUUCUGCCAUGCCUAAUGACCAAAGGUUCUGCUUACUUUCCAAAAGGCAUAGUAGAAGCCUAGCAGUCUGAAGCAGAUAAAAAAAUAAGAAUGAGCAAUAUGUUGGAAUGACAAUUAUAUAAACAAUGAACAUUAGUGCACAACAACAUAAUCAAGUCCCAAGGUCCAAUGAAUAGCUGCAUGCUUCAAAGACUCUGGGCAUGUCAGGCAACAAAAAAGUACACUCCGGUCACCAUCCAGCAACCUUGAAUAUGGAUCUGUAAGUGUUUUUAUGCAUAUACAUUUAAAAUAGCAUAAAUGAAUGGCAAAAGACCCAGCCAUGAGUAAAUAUAGCAUUGCUUUUUACUGUUGACCUUUGAGCCUAAAUCAUAUAGUCUCUUAAAUGUGUAAUUUUACUAUGAAAUGGGAUAAGCUAUAUUGUUAACUUAUGGAUGUAACUGCGGAUAGAAUUUUAUAUUCCUUUUAUCUGAAGGGAAAAUGACAUUUUUGCUGUUGCUGUUCUUAGUUUAUUUUAAAGCAUUUCUUUCCCACAUAUGGCUCUGAAUAUGAAAAAGAGCAGAGGGAAGAAAAUGUUCUAAAAAUAAAUUGUGUGAAAAGGACAUUUCUAUGAAAGGAAAUUCUCUAGAUAAAUACUUAGAGGUGAAAUACUAAAGGCUCUUCAGUAAAUAAAUAUUCCAUUACAAACCUUGGAGCUGGAAGUACCUUCUUCAGGUAAGGACAUUCAGUCAGUCUGAUCGUAUCUUCAGGAGACCACUGGUGGAAACCAGUCUUCAUUGCUGGGGGAAAGUUGAUUUCUCCCAUAGAGAAAUCUGCAGAAUCUAAGGUAAUGGUCUAAGGUAAUGUAAUUCUUUUGGGUUGCUAAAAGUGCGUUUAGUUCAUCAACCAAUUUCUGCACAGUUAUCAUAUUAUGAAUGCAAUCACAAAGUGGGAAAUUCCCUCUUCUGUCUUAAUGGAUGCUAAAAUAGUAUUUCAUGGCUUAUAGGGGUACCAAAAAGACAAAAAAAAAAUUUAUCUAGUCUAGUUAGAUGAAUUGGCCACUUCCUUCUAUGAUUGUCAAUGGGUACAGCUUUAGACUUUUAGAUUUUCCAGAUGUGUAAAUGAUCUCAGCAUUUCAGACAGAGAAUGUCGAUGUUCCACUGAGUAUAUGCAUGAAGAUGACUGUUAAUAUAUAUAUUAUAAUUUCUUUGGUUUGGGUAUUUUUUAUGAAAUCUGCUCAUGUAAGAAAAAAAGAGAGCACGUAUAAUAGUAUUGUAAAAUAAAUAUCCUCUUUAUCAUCAUACACUGAAAGCUUUAAAAUUAAAGCAUUAUGCAGAGUUUGAGAUAGAAUAAACCUUCUUUCAUGAAAAUAUCCAUUAUGCCCAUAGGAAAAUAUUAACUGUCCAAAAUUCUCCAUUGAUUUUUGCUGUAUGUGUACAUUUUUAUUCCUUUAUUAGGACUUUCAUUCUUCUUUAUAAUACAUACAUAUUAUUUUAUUACUGGUAUUACUUGGGACUAAUACUAUGAAGAAAUGUUUUUGCUCCGAUUUUUAGGAAUAUCAGUUGUAAUGUCUAAGCAACCUGAUUUUUACAGACUGAAUAUCUUAAAUCAGGAAUUAAAAAAAAUUACAACACUACAAAUAGUGAUCUGCUAUGUAAAGUCAUUGCCUUAAUUCUUUUUUCUAUUUAUUCUUUCAAAUUUUUGCUUUCCUUUUCAUUAACUGCCAAUAUUUUUCAAGCUUUCUCAGGAACUGCAAUUAUGCUUAGGAUGUGAAGAUAUAAAUAAUA
Anas platyrhynchos (mallard) is the source of this 2173-nucleotide long non-coding RNA. RefSeq lists it as uncharacterized. The record is from RefSeq and is a predicted model, not a curated record. NCBI's taxonomy places the organism in Eukaryota, Metazoa, Chordata, Aves, Anseriformes, Anatidae.